AUUGAACGCUGGCGGCAUGCCUUACACAUGCAAGUCGAACGGCAGCGCGGACUUCGGUCUGGCGGCGAGUGGCGAACGGGUGAGUAAUACAUCGGAACGUACCCUGUUGUGGGGGAUAACUAGUCGAAAGAUUAGCUAAUACCGCAUACGACAUGAGGGUGAAAGUGGGGGACCGCAAGGCCUCACGCAGCAGGAGCGGCCGAUGUCUGAUUAGCUAGUAUGUGGGGUAAAGGCCCACCAAGGGGACGAUCAGUAGCUGGUCUGAGGGGACGAUCAGCCACACUGGGACUGAGACACGGCCCAGACUCCUACGGGAGGCAGCAGUGGGAAAUUUUGGACAAUGGGGGCAACCCUGAUCCAGCAAUGCCGCGUGUGUGAAGAAGGCCUUCGGGUUGUAAAGCACUUUUGUCCGGAAAGAAAUCGCGCUGGUUAAUACCUGGCGUGGAUGACGGUACCGGAAGAAUAAGCACCGGCUAACUACGUGCCAGCAGCCGCCGUAA
RNAcentral lists this ribosomal RNA (500 nucleotides) under uncultured bacterium. RNAcentral describes it as "partial 16S ribosomal RNA". It matches the Rfam family "Bacterial small subunit ribosomal RNA", at positions 30 to 523 of the family's 1533-position model. The record is from RNAcentral.